This 74-nucleotide transfer RNA is filed under the name Enterobacterales bacterium. RNAcentral's name for it is "tRNA-Ile". Lineage: Bacteria; Pseudomonadati; Pseudomonadota; Gammaproteobacteria; Enterobacterales. The record is from RNAcentral.
GAUGUGGCUGGCGGGGAUCGCCCUGCUGUUGAUGGUGGCGGUGAUCCCGGUUGGGAUCUUCGCCCGCUACGUCA